RNAcentral lists this ribosomal RNA (406 nucleotides) under uncultured bacterium. RNAcentral describes it as "partial 16S ribosomal RNA". It matches the Rfam family "Bacterial small subunit ribosomal RNA", at positions 29 to 526 of the family's 1533-position model. The record is from RNAcentral.
AUUGAACGCUGGCGGCAGGCCUAACACAUGCAAGUCGCACGAGUGGCGGACGGGUGAGUAAUGUCUGGGAAACUGCCCGAUGGAGGGGGAUGACUAAUGGAAACGGUAGCUAAUACCGCAUACCAUCGGAUGUGCCCAGAUGGGAUUGGCUAGUAGGUGGGGUAACGGCUAACCUGGGCGACGAUCCCUAGCUGGUCUGAGAGGAUGACCAGCCACAGUGGACCGGGGACACGGUCCAGACUCCUACGGGAGGCAGCAGUGGGGAAUAUUGCACAAUGGGCGCAAGCCGGAUGCAGCCAUGCCGCGGGUAUGAAGAGGGCCUUCGGGUUUUAAAGUACUUUCAGCGAGGAGGCGUUACUCGCAGAAGAAGCACCGGCUAACUCCGUGCCAGCAGCCGCGGUAAUAC